GAGUUUGAUCAUGGCUCAGAACGAACGCUGGCGGCAUGCCUAACACAUGCAAGUCGAACGGGAUCCAGGCUUCGGCCUGGUGAGAGUGGCGGACGGGUGAGUAACGCGUGGGAACCUGCCCAAUGGUCUGGGAUAACCGCGGGAAACUGCGGCUAAUACCGGAUAAGCCCGAGAGGGGAAAGAUUUAUCGCCGAUGGAGGGGCCCGCGUCCGAUUAGGUAGUUGGUGAGGUAACGGCUCACCAAGCCGACGAUCGGUAGCUGGUCUGAGAGGAUGAUCAGCCACACUGGGACUGAGAUACGGCCCAGACUUCUACGGGAGGCUGCAGUAACGAAUCUUCCGCAAUGCACGAAAGUGUGACGGAGCGACGCCGCGUGGAGGAGAAGCCCUUC
Molecule: ribosomal RNA, 391 nt
Filed under: uncultured Alphaproteobacteria bacterium
Lineage: Bacteria; Pseudomonadati; Pseudomonadota; Alphaproteobacteria
Description: bacterial SSU rRNA
Rfam family: Bacterial small subunit ribosomal RNA
Source: RNAcentral